AGAGUUUGAUUCUGGCUCAGGAUGAACGCUGGCGGCGUGCUUAACACAUGCAAGUCGAACGGAGUUUUUAAACGGAAGUUUUCGGAUGGAAGUUUAGAAACUUAGUGGCGGACGGGUGAGUAACGCGUGGGUAACCUGCCUCAUACAGGGGGAUAACAGUUAGAAAUGACUGCUAACACCGCAUAAUAUAGCGAAACCGCAUGAUUUUGCUAUCAAAUAUUUAUAGGUAUGAGAUGGGCCCGCGUCUGAUUAGCUAGUUGGUGGGGUAAAAGCCUACCAAGGCGACGAUCAGUAGCCGGCUUGAGAGAGUGACCGGCCACAUUGGGACUGAGACACGGCCCAAACUCCUACGGGAGGCAGCAGUGGGGAAUAUUGGACAAUGGGGGAAACCCUGAUCCAGCGAACCGCCGCGUGAGUGAAGAAGUAUUUCGGUAUGUAAAGCUCUAUCAGCAGGGAAGAUAAUGACAGUACCUGACUAAGAAGCCCCGGCUAACUACGUGCCAGCAGCGGC
This 511-nucleotide ribosomal RNA is filed under the name uncultured bacterium. RNAcentral's name for it is "bacterial SSU rRNA". It matches the Rfam family "Bacterial small subunit ribosomal RNA", at positions 8 to 518 of the family's 1533-position model. The record is from RNAcentral.